GACGAGGCAAUUUAUUACUUACGCAUAGAACACUGGCUGUGCUGAAACUGGGAGCGCAAACAGCCCCUUGUUUUCUAAUUUAGAGACUUGCAUCUUUUCGACACUCAACAGUAUCAAGACACUCUGCUACUACAGAAUCUUCUGGAGAGGGAAAGAAGAAACCAUGUCUAGACAAGGUGCUGGAAAGACCCAGGGAAGACACAGGGAAAUCAUCUUUUGGGAAUUUAUCUAAGAAGAACUUCUUAUGAUAUAUGAAGUCUGGGGGUAAGACCUGCAGUAAUUUCCCUUAAGAUACUACAGAAUUUCCAAGGACUUGAGGAAUAAUUGCACUCUUGAAACAGCCUAUGAAAAAAGAAGAGACUUGGGAAAUUUAACAGAAGUUCACUUUCCACCACUGUGCAAACUAAGGAAAAACUUACAGCAGUAAAUAGCUGUGGUUGGCAAAGCUGUUUUGGCUCAGGAGCAGCUAUCAGGCCUUGAUAAGGUCGACAAGUCUGCUGUUCUAAAAUAAAAACAAAACAAACAAACAAAAA
RNAcentral lists this non-coding RNA (533 nucleotides) under Pan troglodytes (chimpanzee). The record is from RNAcentral. Lineage: Eukaryota; Metazoa; Chordata; Mammalia; Primates; Hominidae.